Molecule: ribosomal RNA, 116 nt
Filed under: Salmonella enterica subsp. enterica serovar Enteritidis
Lineage: Bacteria; Pseudomonadati; Pseudomonadota; Gammaproteobacteria; Enterobacterales; Enterobacteriaceae
Source: RNAcentral
CCUGGCGGCACUAGCGCGGUGGUCCCACCUGACCCCAUGCCGAACUCAGAAGUGAAACGCCGUAGCGCCGAUGGUAGUGUGGGGUCUCCCCAUGCGAGAGUAGGGAACUGCCAGCC